ACGGGUGAGUAACGCGUGAGUAACCUGCCUUCAAGCCGUUAAUAACAUUCUGAAAAGAAUGCUAAUACCGCAUGACAUAUCGGAACCACAUGGUUUUGAUAUCAAAGAUUUUAUCGCUUGAAGAUGGACUCGCGUCCGAUUAGUUAGUUGGUGAGGUAACGGCUCACCAAGACCGCGAUCGGUAGCCGGACUGAGAGGUUGAACGGCCACAUUGGGACUGAGACACGGCCCAGACUCCUACGGGAGGCAGCAGUGGGGGAUAUUGCGCAAUGGGGGCAACCCUGACGCAGCAACGCCGCGUGAAGGAUGAAGGUUUUCGGAUUGUAAACUUCUUUUAUUAAGGACGAAAAAUGACGGUACUUAAUGAAUAAGCUCCGGCUAACUACGUGCCAGCAGCCGCGGUAAUACGUAGGGAGCAAGCGUUGUCCGGAUUUACUGGGUGUAAAGGGUGCGUAGGCGGCUUUGCAAGUCAGAUGUGAAAUCUAUGGGCUCAACCCAUAAACUGCAUUUGAAACUGUAGAGCAUGAGUGAAGUAGAGGCAGGCGGAAUUCCCCGUGUAGCGGUGAAAUGCGUAGAGAUGGGGAGGAACACCAGUGGCGAAGGCGGCCUGCUGGGCUUUAACUGACGCUG
Molecule: ribosomal RNA, 630 nt
Filed under: uncultured bacterium
Lineage: Bacteria
Description: bacterial SSU rRNA
Rfam family: Bacterial small subunit ribosomal RNA
Source: RNAcentral